RNAcentral lists this ribosomal RNA (248 nucleotides) under Uroplatus giganteus. Its description in RNAcentral is "partial small subunit ribosomal RNA". Lineage: Eukaryota; Metazoa; Chordata; Lepidosauria; Squamata; Gekkonidae. The record is from RNAcentral.
AACCCACGCUAAACCUCACCCACCUUUGAAAAAACAGUCUAUAUACCUCCGUCGCCAGCCCGCCUGAAGACAGACACAAAGCGAGUAUAAUAAUUUACCAUUAAAACGACAGGUCAAGGUGUAACUGAUAGGUGGGCAGAGAUGGGCUACAUUUUCUAAAAUUGAAUAUACCCACCCCAAUAUGAAAUUUGAGGAAAAAGGUGGAUUUAGCAGUAAGCAGGGUAAGAAAAGCCCAACUGAAGCGCGCU